Molecule: unclassified non-coding RNA, 562 nt
Filed under: Hevea brasiliensis (rubber tree)
Lineage: Eukaryota; Viridiplantae; Streptophyta; Magnoliopsida; Malpighiales; Euphorbiaceae
Source: RNAcentral
AAAAAAAAAAAAAAAAAAAAGCGAUGGGCCUUGCUUCCUUUCCAUCUCUCAAAGCUUAAUUAGCCCCCGCCCAUCACUCAUUACUUCUUUACAGAUGAAGAAGAAUGAACAUCCGCAAUUCUUUUACAUUGGAUUAUGAAAAUUCAAAAUUGGCUUAGCCGCUUGUGGCCUAGUUAAUUAGUAUUCCUUAAGCAACAACAACUGUGCCUGUCCGUACAGUUUUAUUGGGGGAAUUCUCCUCUGCCUCCGAUUUCCUCAGAGAUCUACUAGAAGAAGAGGACAGUUUCCAGUUCUUCUUCUUCCUCGACUCAUCCAUCUCUAUCUGCUCUUGUCUGCACUCUUUGCUACAAAACGGGGUAUUCCCUCUGUACAUGAAGAUGUCAGAGUUGCAACCAAGAGGUUUCCGGCAAAGAAAGCACGCUUCGAGGAAGUAAGGCUCGUGACCGUAGUAAGACAUGAGAUCGAUCUUUUAUGUAAAAGAAUGAAAGAAAACGAUGCCUACAGCUCUGGCGAGCAGAAGUGAAAAGGAGAAGGAGGAGAAAGCAAUUCUGGGACGGAGGAC